Molecule: ribosomal RNA, 349 nt
Filed under: Habronattus pugillus
Lineage: Eukaryota; Metazoa; Arthropoda; Arachnida; Araneae; Salticidae
Description: partial 16S ribosomal RNA
Rfam family: Bacterial large subunit ribosomal RNA (bases 22-316)
Source: RNAcentral
GUAAAAAGACAUUUAUACAAAAGAAAGACGAUUAGACCCUAUUGAACUUAACUGUAGUUAAACUGGGSCAGUAAAUUAAUUAUUAUUUUAAUAAAAUAUUUUAUAUAAAUAUCUAAUAAAAUUAAAUAAUUCAGUUACCAUAGGGAUAACAGCGUAAUAAUUUUCUAAAGAUCUUAUUUAAAAUAUAGAUUACGACCUCGAUGUUGAAUUAAUAACCUAAUUAAGGCAAAACUUAAAAAAGGAAGUCUGUUCGACUUUUAAAAAAUUACAUGAUUUGAGUUCAGACCGGUGUAAGCCAGGUCGGUUUCUAUCUUCUAAAAAAUUUUUUACAGUACGAAAGGACCUAAAA